Molecule: unclassified non-coding RNA, 270 nt
Filed under: Cladophialophora sp.
Lineage: Eukaryota; Fungi; Ascomycota; Eurotiomycetes; Chaetothyriales; Herpotrichiellaceae
Description: partial internal transcribed spacer region
Rfam family: Eukaryotic small subunit ribosomal RNA (bases 1-46)
Source: RNAcentral
AAGUCGUAACAAGGUUUCCGUAGGUGAACCUGCGGAAGGAUCAUUAACGAGUUAGGGUCUUCUAGGCCCGACCUCCCAACCCUUUGUUUACUGAACCAUUGUUGCUUCGGUGGGUCCGUCUCACGACCGCCGGGGGGACCGCCGCGAGGCACCCCCCUGGCCCGCACCCGCCGAUAGCCCAACCCUUAAACCCUUUAUGAAUCGUGUCUUCUGUCUGAAUCAUGAUUAAAAAUCAAAACAAAACUUUCAACAACGGAUCUCUUGGUUCUG